GGGGGGGGGGGGGGUUCAUUUGUAAUCACACUCCAUGUCCCUGCCUACUGAGAUGCAUCCACACCGACACGCACGCACGCACGCACGCACGCACGCACACACACACACACACACACACACACACACACACACACACACACACACACACACACACACACACACACACACACACACACACACACACACACACACACACACACACACACACACACACACACACCUCUCAAGGGCACAGCUAAAUUCAGACCCUUAGGUCUAGGAACAUUAGCACCCCUCCUUCCAUCUGUUUUUCCAUCUCUCUCUCCAUCGCUCUACAUUCAGGAGACGAGUCCUUACCUGUCACUACAUGCACACACGCAAGCACAAGAAACAAGUAGGCACUUAAGCAAGUAGACACGCACACAUUCAUGCACACACAGACACACACAUAUACACACACACAGACACACACAUACACACACACUUACACACACAUAAACACACACAGAGACACAGAUACACAGCUAAACUGUCAGAUCUUUAGCUGGUCAUUAUCAGAUGAUGUACUUAGGAGCAGCUAAACCGUCUCGACAGACCCACAGCCUCAAGACAGAUGAAACUGCUGUUAAGAUGUCUGUCCCGGGCCUCCCGGGUGGCGCAGUGGUCUAGGGCACUGCAUCGCAGUGCUAGCUGCGCCACCAGAGUCUCUGGGUUCGCGCCCAGGCUCUGUCGCAGCCAGCCGCGACCAGGAGGUCAGUGGGGCGACGCACUAUUGGGCUAGCGUCGUCCGGGUUAGGGAGGGUUUGGCCGGUAGGGAUAUCCUUGUCUCAUCGCGCUCCAGUGACUCCUGUGGCGGGCCAGGCGCAGUAUGCGCUAACCAAGGGGGCCAGGUGCACGGUGUUUCCUCCGACACAUUGGUGCGGCUGACUUCCGGGUUGGAGGCGCGCUGUGUUAAAGAAGCAGUGCGGAUUGGUUGGGUUGUGCUUCGGAGGACGCGUGGCUUUCGACCUUCGUCUCUCCCGAGCCCGUACGGGAGUUGUAGCGAUGAGACAAGAUAGUAAUUACUAGCGAUUGGAUACCACGAAAAUUGGGGAGAAAAGGGGAUCAAAUUAAAAAUAAAUAAAAAAAGAUGUCUGUCCCAUGUACGAUAUGACCUUACUUCAAACACACAUAUACCACAAACAAACACACACGCUGCAGCCAUCUCAUCUGUUGAAUGAUGAGAUGGCCCGUAGGACAUAUCUGCUGCUCAGUCUGGAUACAGGGGGGUGUUGGGCGUUCUGUUGUGAUGCAGACAGGGCCAGGAGGGGUAUGUGUUAACCCGUAAGAGGACAGAGCAGGGUAUAAAUAUGACCACUGAAAGAGAAACAGGAUCAGGGGGAUUCAGGUUGUGUAAGGGGUGUAAGACGUGGGUGGGGUGUGUAAGGGGUGUAAGACGUGGGUGGGGUGUGUAAGGGGUGAAGGGCCCAAUGGCCGGGAUGUAAACAGAACAGGGGGGUCCUGGACGGGCAUGUAGAGUGUGUGUGUGUGGGUAGGUGUGUUUACAGAUGGAAGGUUGGGGUGUGUAUGUGUGUGUGUCUGUGUGAGGGUUCUCUCUCGGUUACAGAACUGUUGUUGGCAAGCGAGUCACCGUCGCCAAGGGCAAUGUUCUAGAAUCUUGCUGAUGUCAGCAACUGACCAAUAAGAGCAGGGAGGGUGCACCCCGUAGUUUCUGGAACCCCCUGUCAUCCCCCAAGAAAUCUGUGUGUGUGGGUCUGUGUGUGUGUGUGUGUGUGUGUGUGUGCGUGUGUGUGUGUGUGUGUGUGUGUGUGUGUGUGUGUGCGUGUUGUAACCUCAGCCAAGGUCCUGUGAGUGUAUCAUUGUGCAUGGCUCAUGCUAAUGGUUGACUCAGGGGUGCGGGGGUUGGUAUUUUAAACAGACUUCAACAUUCAUGCAUUCAUUGUUGCGGAACGUCAUGAUCUUGCUGUAAGUUGGCCAUCAGAUGAGGGAUGCAUCUCAAUAGUCUACAGGGGCUUCCUCUCCUCAUCUCGUCUCCUUCAAAUGCAUUAGUGUUUCCCUAUAUGGCAAUGUUUCCCAAACUCGAUCCUGGGGACCAGAAGGGUGCACACUUUUUUUUCUUCCAUCGCACUACAAAGCUGAUGCAAAUAAUCAUCUCAUCAUUAAGUUUUCAUUAUUUGAAUCAGCUGUGUAGUGCUAGGGAAGAAAAAAAAGUGCACCCCUUGGGGUCCCAGGACCGAGUUUGGGAAACAGGACCGAGUUUGGGAGUUUGGGAAACACUGCUAUAGGGCUUGAAAUGAAGGAGAGGAGACAAGACAAUCUGUACUGUAAACGUUUGAAAUGCACCCGAGGAGAGCAGUCAUAGAAACAGAUGACUGAUUUCAUAGUCCCUAAAGUUUCAAACCCAGAAGCACCUUACAGUCAUGAACCAGUGUACUGGCUCAGGGCUGUGUGUGUGUGCGUGUGUGUGUGCGUGUGCGUGUGUGUGUGUGUUGUGCUGAGACGUCCUGUAUGUGGUAAACUUCAGCACUAACUCCCACUGUGAGGACAGGAUCAGAUCGCAGUAGAGCCAGAGACUUAUAGCAACAAACUCUAACAGCCUCACAUCAUAAUUAGACGUUCAUCCAUGUUUCUCAAAAGUGAAGUUUUUAAGGUUAAGUUUAGGCAUAAACUCCGAAUUGAUAAGGUUAGGCAUUAACUCUUUCAAUGAUCUAUAUCUGGAUUUGAACAUGCAACCUUUAGAACCAGAUGUUUACGCCCAUCCGCCAUCCCUGUCCCCAACGCCCUAGCAAAGCAAAACCAAAACCUACUUGAAGGUAACAGCGCUCACUGUUUCCCCUAGAGGCCAGUUUCCAAGUCAUCUCCCGACGUCCUUAGACAUGGAUGGGCGUCGAAUACUGACAUGUAUCACGGGUGACCCGCAUGCUUAUUGAGACUAAGGGCCACACAUACACCAAGAGGCACGCACGCACACACACAUACAAGAAGUCUUAAAGCUCUGUUCGGCUCUUAAUCGUUUCUUGUGCUGGUCACGGUCUAUCGAUCACGUGGCCCUGUUCUGCACACACGCCCCGGGGGGUUGCAUAGUUAGGCACACACACAAACACACUAGGGCUCCCUCGCUUCACAGACCUCUAUCCCAUAAUUAGCUCGUCCAGACAGAGAUGACAGUGCAGACAUGAGAAGACACCCGGGGGAGAGCCCAGUGUGUGUGUGUGUGUGUGUGUGUGUGUGUGUGUGUGUGUGUGUGUGUGUGUGUGUGUGUGUGUGUGUGUGUGUGUGUGUGUGUGUGUGUGUGUGUGUGUGUCCAGUCUGUUCUGGAGUGGGCCGGUUUCAGGCAGACCACUGAACCAUCACCAUACCAGUUGGACACACACACACACAUCUAGCGUAUCUCUCUCUCUCUCUCUCUCUGUAUAUACACUAGCAGUGAAGUUUGGACACACCUACUCAUUCAUAGAUUUUUCUUUAUUUUAACUAUUUUCUACGUUCUAGAAUAUUAGUGAAGAAAUCAAACCUAUGAAAUAACACAUGGAAUCAUGUAGUAACUAAAAGAGUCAACAAAUCAAAAUGUAUUUUAGAUUUUAGAUUCUUCAAAGUAGCCACCCUUUUCUUGAUAACAGCUUUGCACACUCUUGGCAUUCUCUCAACCAGAUUCACCUGGAAUGCUUUUCUAACAGUCUUGAAGGAGUUUCCACAUAUACUAAGCACUUGAAGGCUGCUUUUCCUUCACUCUGACGCCCAAUUCAACCCAAACCAUCUCAAUUGGGUUGAGGUAGGAUGAUUGUGGAGGCCAGGACAUCUGAUGCAGCACUCCAUCAUGCUCCUUCUUGGUCAAAUAGCCCUUACACAGCCUGGAGGUGUGUAGGGUCAUUGUCCUGUUGAAAAACAAAUGAUAGUCCCAAUAUGCGCAAACCAGAUGGGAUGGCAUAUCACUACAGAGUGCUGUGGGAGCCAUGUUUGUUAAGUCUGCUUUGAAUUCUAAAUAAAUCACUGACAGUGUCACAAGCAAAGCACCCCCACAUCCUCACAACUCCUCCUCCAUGCUUCAUGAUGGGAACAACACAUGGAGAGAUCAUCCGUUAAAACUUCUUAGGGAUAGCCACUUUUUUUCAAUUUUCGCCUAAAUGACAUACCCAAAUCUAACUGCCUGUAGCUCAGACCCUGAAGCAAGGAUAUGCAUUUUCUUGCUACCAUUUGAAAGGAAACACUUUGGAGUUUGUGGAAAUGUGAAUUGAAUGUAGGAGAAUAUAACACAAUAGAUCUGGUAGAAGAAAAUACAACCAGUCUUUUUCUACCACCAUCUUUGAAAUCCAAGAGAAAUCACUCUGGUUGUAAUUCCGAUAGUGUCCACAGGAUGGCAGCAGUAUAUGUGCAAAGUUUCAGAUAGAUAACUUGAAGUAUGAGUGAACUACAAUACUUUUAGUGUGAAGUCCCCAGGUACAUUUGGGCAAAUCGUGAAGGAGACAUUCGCAUUCAUAUUACAUUUUUCUGCAAGAAUAUCGUCAAAUUUGUAUACUUGGACUUUGAUUUAGCUUUCCAAGUAUUAGUAGCCAUAUUAUAAGUUCAACAUUUGCAAAACAACUAGAUUUCAUAACUUCAUAACUCUGAAUAUCAUUAUAAUUUCUGUCCAAAAUGAAAAGGCAUGCUGUCGUACAAGGUUAGUAACACAUUUUACGACAUAUACAUGGUUUCCCGUAAAGCCCAGCUCUCUGGCUAUCUAGCUAGCUUUGUUUGACCUCGAUUGGUGCUUAUUUGACAAAGAUACAGUCGUUCAAGUGAUGACCGCCCGCGUCAUUGGCAUGCCAUGAAGGAGGUGAAUUUGGAGGGGAAUUUAUCAAACCUAUCGUGGUGAAAAAGUGUUUUGUUGUUAGGAGCUCUUCUCAAACAAUAGCAUGGCAUUUUUUUCGCAGUAAUAGCUACUAGCUAGUAAAUUGGACAGUGCAGUUAUAUUAACAAUAAUUUAAGCUUUCAGCCGAUAAGACACUUAUAUGUACCAACAUUUGUUGUUUCUCUAAAAUCUGCGAUCUUGACAUAACAUGCUGCAUGAUUUACAACUGUCCUGUUGGCGGGACGCCGAUCCUUAAGAAGUCCUACUCUGCGUCUCACAAAGACACGGCAGUUGGAACCAGAAAUGUCAAAUUUGGACUCAUCAGACCAAAGGACAGACUUCCACCGGUCUAAUGUCCAUUGCUCAUGUUCUUGCCCCAACAAGUCUCUUCUUAUUAUUGGUGUUCUUUAGUAGUGGUUUCUUUGCAGCAAUUCAACCAUGAAGGCCUGAUUCAUGAAGUCUCCUCUGAAUAGUUGAUGUUGAGAUGUGUCUGCUACUUGAACUCUGUGAAGCAUUUAUUUGGGUUGCAAUCUGAGGUACAGUUAACUCCAAUGAACUUAUCCUCCGCAGUAGAAACUCUGGGUCUUCCUUUCCUGUGGCGGUCCUCAUGAGAGCCAGUUUCAUCAUAGGGCUUGAUGGUUUUUGUGACUGCACUUGAAGAACCUUUCAAAGUUAUUGAAAUUUUCCGUAUUGACUGACCUUCAUGUCAAAGUAAUGAUGGACUGUCUUUUCUCUGCUUAUUUCAGCUGUUCUUGCCAUAAUAUGGACUUGGUCUUUUACCAAAUAGGGCUAUCUUCUGUAUACCACCCCUACCUUGUCACAACACAACUGAUUGGCUCAAACGCAUUAAUUAAGAAGGAAAGAAAUUCAACAAAUCAACUCUUAACAAGAAUCCCAAAUAUAAAAUAUAUUUUGAUUUGUUUAACACUUUUUUUAUUUGUACAUGAUUCCAUAUGUGUUAUUUCAUAGUUUUGAUGUCUUCGCUAUUAUUCUACAACGUAGAAAAUAGUACAAAUAAAGAAAAAACCUUGAAUGAGUAGGUGUGUCCAAACUUUUGACUGGUAAUAUAUAUAUAUAUGCCCAGUGUUAAGUCUGCUACUCUGAGAGGCUUUAAUACCUCACACCUCUGAGAGGCUUUAAUACCUCACACCUCUUCGUUAUCUCUCUCCCUCUAUCCCUCUCUUUAUGUCUCCUUCUGGGUCCAUCUCUGUCUCCACAGCUGUGUGUGUGUGUGUGUGUGUGUGUGUGUGUGUGUGUGUGUGUGUGUGUGUGCGUGCGUGCGUGCGUGCGUGCGUGCGUGCGUUUGGGCAGUAUCACAGCUUGAGUAUGAAGCACAGAAACCAUCUAAUGCAAUAAGUAAAUGACUCUUUCUUCCAGAGUGUGAGCACACACACACAUACAUAGAUAGAAUAUCUACACGCAUACUCCCUCACACACCUGUGUGAAAGCGAAACAUAACUUUUGCUCUGAUUUACACAUACUUCUAUUUUGACUCUAUGUUCAGCACAUACACACACAUACACUUUACACGGCAUACCAGUCUGACGUGCUGUUGUGUGAGUACAGGAAAAUAUAGUUGUCCACAGGGAUCCUUCUGGUUGCAUGUCCUUGAAUCGGGCCUCAGUGGAGAGAGGAGGAAGAAGCGAGAGAGAAUAGGAGAGACUAGAGGAGCCACUAUGAAAAUUCACAAUGUACUGCAGCAUUAAAACGGGGGAAAUUAACGUCCAUUUAAAUGAUAAAUAAACUAAAUGAUAUCAUGUCAUGAAAUAGCACAUUUUGUUUCUACAAUGUGAACCUGAGUAUGGACAGGGGGUAGAGGGAGGAGAGAGAGGAUAAUGGAUGGUGUUAUGGAGGCUGGAGACAGUUGUCUCUUCAUUAUGUUAAAAGUGACACACACACAUACAGCAGCUUCAACUGCUAACACCCCAACAGUUCUUUGACAGGCCUACAGAAACGUCUUGUCACACUGGCAGUUUCCAACCUGAACACACACACUCUGUCCUUACCAGUAGAAACCAGUACCCACAUACACGUACACACGUACACACGUACGUACACAAACAUACACUACUGUAAUACUGUAUGACUCCACACAGGACUGUCUUUUGUCUACAGCGGUUCCGGCUAUUUAAAACUGCGGUAACUUAUAUUAAGUCCUAUUGUAUCUUUUACUAUUAUUAAAGGAUAGACUCUGA
Salvelinus fontinalis (brook trout) is the source of this 7002-nucleotide long non-coding RNA. RefSeq lists it as uncharacterized. The record is from RefSeq and is a predicted model, not a curated record. Lineage: Eukaryota; Metazoa; Chordata; Actinopteri; Salmoniformes; Salmonidae. The transcript has 2 exons.